GACGAACGCUGGCGGCGUGCCUAAUACAUGCAAGUCGAACGCAUUUUCUUUCACCGUAGCUUGCUACACCGAAAGAAAAUGAGUGGCGAACGGGUGAGUAACACGUGGGUAACCUGCCCAUCAGCGGGGGAUAACACUUGGAAACAGGUGCUAAUACCGCAUAAUUCCAUUUACCGCAUGGUAGAUGGGUGAAAGGCGCUUUUGCGUCACUGAUGGAUGGACCCGCGGUGCAUUAGCUAGUUGGUGGGGUAACGGCCUACCAAGGCUGCGAUGCAUAGCCGACCUGAGAGGGUGAUCGGCCACACUGGGACUGAGACACGGCCCAGACUCCUACGGGAGGCAGCAGUAGGGAAUCUUCGGCAAUGGACGCAAGUCUGACCGAGCAACGCCGCGUGAGUGAAGAAGGGUUUCGGAUUGUAAAACUCUGUUGUUAGAGAAGAACAAGGAUGAGAGUGGAAAGUUCAUCCCUUGACGGUAUCUAACCAGAAAGCCACGGCUAACUACGUG
This 507-nucleotide ribosomal RNA is filed under the name uncultured bacterium. RNAcentral describes it as "partial 16S ribosomal RNA". It matches the Rfam family "Bacterial small subunit ribosomal RNA", at positions 28 to 507 of the family's 1533-position model. The record is from RNAcentral.